GAACAAAGGAAGGAGGAAGUAACUUGUGGAGUGCUGAGAAAGGUGAUCAGAAGAGCCAUCACUGAAGAUGACAACUGAGCAAAGACCCAAAGGAGGUGAAGAGUGAACUACGGAGGAAGCACCUUCCUGGCAGAGAACAGCAAGUGCAAAGGCCCUGGGCAGGGAGGAUGACUGGGGAUCAUUCAAGCAAGAGCAAAGAGGCCAAUGUGGAAGGAACAGAGUCAGCAAGAAGGAGUGUAAAAGGAGGUGCUCGUGACGACGACUGGGAGCAGAGCACGAGGCUGGAGAGAGCACCCCUCAAUACCGGACUCGGGUAAAAUCUUGCCUCCUUCCUGAGCCCCUCUCUCAGACCUAAUGCAAAAGCCGUAAUCCACUGGGGGAAGGGCAAGAAACCUUCCCUGUCCCCGGGACCCAGGCAAAGAUCUGCUGCUCCUGGGGGUGAGGUACCAGCAAAUAUGAUCGUCUGCUGGAUUCUGCACUGAUACAAUGCAAAAGUCAGCUUCGGGUGGGGUUGGGGGGAAACGUGGGAAAUUCUCUCUCACACGGGAGCUCACACCACACACACACACAAACACACACACAGAAGGCAGAGUCCAGGUGGCAUGGAGGGUGAAAGCACACAAUGCUAAGAAAGCCCUAUCCUGAAGUCCAGGCACACAGUACCUGCCUAAGAUGGAGUCAGACUAAGAGAACCAAGAAAGUCCCCAUCCUCUUACCAUGAGCCUGGCUCCAAGUAAAGAGCAACAGCAGUUCCCCACUGGGGCAAUGACACGGGCAGGCUACGAGUAAAAGGAUGGGAAAAGGUGUAUUAUGCAAGCGUGAUCAAAAGAAAGCUGAAGUGCCUAUCAGACAAAGUAGACUCAGAGCAAGGAAUAUUGCAGAGCCUAAGGAGAAACAGCAUAUAAUGAUAAAGAGAUCAAUGCAACAAAAAGCCAUGGUGGCCCUGACCUAAGAAAAGAGCUUCAAAAAUACAAAAAGAAAUCACAGAAAUAAAAGUCGUGAUUUAGUCCUUAUUUUAAUUCUGACUAGUUUUCCGAUACUUUUCUUCCAUCCUUAUUGGUCCAAGAUGUUUUUUUCACUUAUUAAGUUACUAUAUCAUAACAGAACUUUAAAGUGAAUAACUAAUUGCAAA
This 1132-nucleotide long non-coding RNA is filed under the name Homo sapiens (human). RNAcentral's name for it is "HSALNT0355226". Lineage: Eukaryota; Metazoa; Chordata; Mammalia; Primates; Hominidae. The record is from RNAcentral.